Molecule: transfer RNA, 86 nt
Filed under: Candidatus Elusimicrobium euhamitermitis
Lineage: Bacteria; Pseudomonadati; Elusimicrobiota; Elusimicrobia; Elusimicrobiales; Elusimicrobiaceae
Description: tRNA-Ser
Rfam family: tRNA
About the family: Transfer RNA (tRNA) molecules are approximately 80 nucleotides in length. Their secondary structure includes four short double-helical elements and three loops (D, anti-codon, and T loops). Further hydrogen bonds mediate the characteristic L-shaped molecular structure. tRNAs have two regions of fundamental functional importance: the anti-codon, which is responsible for specific mRNA codon recognition, and the 3' end, to which the tRNAs corresponding amino acid is attached (by aminoacyl-tRNA synthetases). tRNAs cope with the degeneracy of the genetic code in two manners: having more than one tRNA (with a specific anti-codon) for a particular amino acid; and 'wobble' base-pairing, i.e. permitting non-standard base-pairing at the 3rd anti-codon position.
Source: RNAcentral
GGAGAGGUGGCCGAGCGGUUUAAGGCGCAGUCCUGGAAAGACUGUAUACCCAAAAGGUAUCGAGGGUUCGAAUCCCUCCCUCUCCG